UAACUCUAUAACCCCCUGUCAAUUAACUCUAUAACCCCCUGUCAAUGAACUCUUUAACCCCCUGUCAAUUAACUCUUUAACCCCCUGUCAAUGAACUCUAUAACCCCCUGUCAAUUAACUCUAUAACCCCCUGUCAAUUAACUCUAUAACCCCCUGUCAAUUAACUCUAUAACCCCCUGUCAAUGAACUCUAUAACCCCCUGUCAAUGAGCUCUAUAACCCCCUGUCAAUUAACUCUAUAACCCCCUGUCAAUUAACUCUAUAACCCCCUGUCAAUUAACUCUAUAACCCCCUGUCAAUUAACUCUAUAACCCCCUGUCAAUGAGCUCUAUAACCCCCUGUCACUUUCACCCUUGAAGUGACUGUCCAUUGAAAACGUCAGUUUUUAAAAGUGGAUUUUCUGUUGCUAAGAUAAUGUUGACGAUUCAUGCAAUCAAAUAAUGUUGUCGACUCAUCAUAUAAUCAUAUAAUGUUGUUGACUCAUGCACAAAAAAAUCCCUAUUUAAACUUUAGAUUAAGAAAAAUGUGCUCUUACUAGUGUCAGUGUGGUUUUAAGUGAAACCUUCUCACUGCUCUUGCUACUAUCAAUGUUGUUUUGAGUGAAACCUGCACACUUCACUUGCUAGUAACACAUACUAGCAAGAGCAGUACUUGGGUUUCUUUUUGUUAUUUGCGUUAUCCUCUUAUUACCAUGCACCUGCAGUAAGUUGAUUUGGUGAAGUGCCUUUUUAAAUUGCUCAGUGAGGAUGUCAGCAAUGUAUUUUGAUUGGUUUCAUAAUUUUUUGGUUACUACAUGAUUCCAUGUGUGUUGUUACAUUGUUGUCAUAACUAUUAUUCUACAAUGUGGAAAAUUGUAAACAUUUUAGAAAUUCCCUUGAAUGUGUAGGCGUGUCCCAACCUUUGCCUGGUACUGUAUAUUGUGAUUCACCGGGUGGUUAUUGUAAAAUACCUAAAUACCACCUUAAUAAGAUUGUGUAGUUGCACAACAGAUUACUGCAAUUGGCUUUUGUAGGGAGACUUUGUAGGGCUCCAGUAGAGAAUUGGGAGCCAUUUUGGAUUGAACCCACAUCAAGGUGACGCCUGUAAAUCAUUAAGGCUACAUGGUAGCAUGCUUUUAUAUCAGUGUCAUGUGGACUGUGUCAUGUGGUCAUUAAGGCUACAUGGUAGCAUGCUUUUAUAUCAGUGUCAUAUGGACUGUGUCAUGUGGUCAUUAAGGCUACAUGGUGGCAUGCUUUCAUAUCAGUGUCAUGUGGUUAUUUUAUAUUGUUCUCAAUCCGUCUGUGAUAUGAUGUCAUCCUGUGGAAGCCCGUAUCCAGUCAGCAUUUGGGCCACAGUAGCAGAUCUCCUGUUUGUCAGUGUGUUAGCAUACCUAGGGAAGCGGCACAAAUGGCACCCUACACCCUAAAAAGUAGUGCACUACGUAUAGAAUAAUGUGCCAAAUUCAGACAAGGCAUCCUCAGACCCUAACCACAAUUAUUUCAGGAUUCUUACUACCCCUCUCCUGAUAAGUAGUUAGUGAACUGUAUCAACUCUUGAGCAGAAAACAAACAACAAUCAAAUAGUCCGUAGCGAAAUAGUCCCACCACUAAAACAAUCCAUAAUGUAAUAGUCCUUGUGUUUAAAUAGUCCCAUGGCAGAAUAGUCCCAGAAACUGAUUCGUAUCACUCAUGCUCUUGGGGCUAAAAUUUGAAUCAUGUAUACAGUGCUAAUACUGUUACACAGACAUGUAACAGGAGGAGCAAAAUAGUCCCCAAGCUGAUUAGUCCCAGUAGCAAAACCAUUUUAGUAGCAAUUGUGUAAACUGUCCUAAUGCCGCCACACAGGGGUAGUCCCGGGAGCCUUGUAUGAUAAGGAGAACUUAACCAAUGACACGUCUCGGGUAAGAACAUGGUGGCCACAGUCUCUAUGCACCUUCGCCAUCAGACACAAUCUGAAGACUUUUUAAAAUGACUGGAAUGGAAAUGACCCAAUUCCUGUUAGUUAGGCAGUCCCAGAUCUGAAGCAGCGGAAGAGACGUGAGAAGAGGCUGGGAAUUUUAAAAUCCCAAUUUAACACCCUUCCUUUCUCCAGCCUUCCAUUUCUGUUCUUCCUGCACUGCUUCUCAAGCAUUUUGACUAUUCAGGUCCAUUUUCUCUCCAUGAUCAGAAAGAAUAAUGAUCGUCCAUUCCUGACCCAUUAUAGCUGUGUGUCCCAAAUGACACUCUCCUUCUCAGUGGGGCCUCUGGGACUCUAGUUAAAGGUAGUGUUCUACGAAGGGAAGCGGGUGCCAUUUGGUAAGCAGGCUGAAGAUUUGUUGCUCUGACAGUGUUACAUUCUGUGUAACUCAUGAUCCACGCCGGUUCUUUUUCACACUGAAUUGGUGUUCUUUUGCCAUUUUUUCAAAUGAUCCAAGUGCUUUUUUUCCCUCAUGAAAACGUGUGGUUUCACACAUGUUGCGCUUUUAGUAUCUUCACAUCAAGUGUCCUUGGUCAGAAUAUGUUUAUGUUGUGGUUGGGACAUGGUUAGAGGAAGGUUAAUACCAUUCAUUAUUAUUGAACGUUGGCCUAUUUGUCAGUAGUCAAUAGAGUUUUGGAGAAAGAGCUGGAUGGGUGAAGUAGUUCAGUCUUUCAUUGGCAGAGUAAUAGUAUAGAUAGAUCAUUGUGGGCUGUUAUUUCUUUUUAUAUGUAGCUACAGUAACAACAUCAGUUUUUCCAAGUGUGUAUCAUGUUCAAUAUUGAUAGUGUCAAUCAAAAGGUCUGCAUUGCUUCCAUUCCAAUAUGGAUAAUGUGUGUGUAUUUCUCAUAUUGUGAAUUGUUUAAGUUGACUGUCUGAAGCCCUGGCUUGGAAUCUGCUGUGUUGUUCGUCUGGUGGAUUGAUGUUCUGUGAUGAGACUAAAGCCUGGAUGGCGUUCUGUUGUGCUAUCAUUGCCCCUGAUGCCACAAAUGUGUUGCAUGACAAGCACUGGCAGGAAGUGGAAUGAUAGCACAACACACUGGCUCCCAGGUUACAUAAACUCAACAGUUCUUAGUAAAUCCACCACCUUUCUUUUUUUCCACUACAGGAUAAAAAUCUGGUAAAUUCCUAGCAAAAUGUUGCCUCUCUAAUCUUGUCCUGUCUUGUAAACAUUGUGGAUGUGACGACUGCUGUGCAGCCUAUCGGCAGAAUUAAAUCUCCCUGGGGUUUAAAUGAGAGUUUUAAAAAGGAGGUGCUGUAUUGUCUGACAGUGAUUUUAAUAGAACCUGUCUCCUGCCCCCCCUCCCCUCCUCCGUCACCAUACUGUUGUUCUUUCCAUCUCCAUCUCCACGUUCAGCCAUCUUAAGAUCAGUGUCAAACCUGCUGCUUUUUAAAUCAUUUUCACCUGCUCCAAGGUGGUUUCUGAAAAUGCUGUUCAACAAAAAAAAUGCAUGAAUUAUUUAACAAGAGCUCUUUUGUAAAGCUGAGGCCAGUCUUACUGUAUUUCAUCUAAUGUUUUCCUGACAGUUUUACUGUAUUUUAGCUAAUGUUUUCCUGCCUGUUUUACUGUAUUUUAGCUAAUGUUUUCCUGCCAGUCUAACUGUAUUUUAUCUAACAUUGGCAUUGGAGGUUAUGUAAAGCCUGAUAGUGACAAGAUGACAGCACAAUUCAGGCCCUUCACGCUCUCAUCAUAAAUUAAGUAUUUACACUAAUUAUAGUUGGCAUGGCAACCCUAUCAAUCUUGUCCCAGUCUCUUCAGAUGCUUUGCAGACUGUUGCAGAAUGCCUUGAUGCUGAGGCCAGGCAAGAAUCACACUCUCAAUGCUUUUAAGGGCGUUUCGCAUUAUCAGAACAACGUGACUGAUUCCAUGGCCCUGGUUAUGCUUGGCGUUCAUCUUGCGUGGAUGAUAGAUGGGAUUUGGACACAGGAAACAUGCUGCUCCGAGGCAUAAGCAUGGCUUAGAAGUCCUUUGCUGCUUUUUAAUACUGCAGACUUACUUUUCUUUUCCGUUUGUCUUUUGAUAAGAACGCUUGAGUCUAAUUUACGGGAAUAAACAGUCAUCUGUCACGCAGUAGCAGAAGCUAAACACACACACACACACUCACAUUCACACACACGCUCACACAUACACACACACACAUGCAAAGUAGCAGUUUAUGAAACAGUGCCAAGUCUCACAUUUCUUCAUAGCUUUUAUCAGAAUAUUCUUCCACACAGAGGAAACUACAUCCCUCUUCAUCAAAGAUGAACAACAUCCCUCUUCGUCAGCCUCGUUGAGUUAAUUCUUUAUGUAGAUUCUGUGGAUGGUUAAUUCGUCAUGCAGAUUGUCUGGACCUUCCUGUCAUGUGAUUGGAUUAUACAGGGAAUAGGGAAAUGACACGGCUCAUGAUACAUUGGCUAAUCAGGAAAUAGCUGCAAGGUGGAGGAAGUGGCGCUGGGAGGGGCUACAGCAGUUUUUCUUUGGUGUGCGGGAGUGCUAUUACUGAGAGAUGCUGACUGACUGACUGACUGACUGUCUGACCGUCUGACUGUCUGAUUGGUUCACUGACCGAGUGGCUGGCUGGCUGGCUGUCUGACCGUCUGACUGUCUGAUUGGUUCACUGACCGAGUGGCUGGCUGGCUGGCUGUCCGGUGUUGUGUGACAGAUGGAGACUGGUUAACAACUAGCUAAUAAACCAUUGGAAGUGAAGGAGAGGGGGCGGCUGGAUGUUCAGUCUGCCUGACCUUGCCUGGAACAAAGCAAACGUCCAACACAGCCUGCAUCUGAGUCCCCAUGAACAGCUGUGAAUAGGUGCCAUUUGUGCCACAUACUGACUGGUUCUGUGAUGUGCAGCUCCUGUUUCUGCCGUCACGAUCUGGGCUGUAAAGCUCUGUUCAAGGGAACGUUACGAGUUUCAAGCUGAUUUACCACAUGUAUAGAAUUAUUUUGAAACCCCAUUCAGCCAAGCUUCAGAAUGAAAAGACCUUUGCAAGAUUUCAUGAAGCUUGAGGUUUCUUCCGCUUGCCAGAUCAACGUCCAAUGUGAAAAAAAAGCUACAGAGAAAGUGAGCUGUUAAAAAUGACAUCUAAUUGCCAAACGAUUGCAGUGGUAUUUAUGUCAAUGCUUCUCCCACUUUAUGUUUUGUGUUUACAGUUUUCUGUGUGGUCUGUUGGACGUUGCCUGGGCGAUUGAACCCAUGUCCUUCAUCCUCCAUAGCAGUUUUUUUACGUUUUGUCAUUGUGUGUCCAAAAUGACACCCUAAUUCCUAGUGUACUGACUGGGGAUUAGAGUGUUAUUUAAGAUACAGAUGUUGGUUUGUUUUUUUCCUCGUAAGAGACCAACUGUACAAAGCCCAUUUAUAUCACAUUCCCUUUUUGUAAACCAUCUUCAAGAGAUGUUUCUAAUAAAUUAUUCCUGGUGGAUAAUAACACUGAGCUUCCUGGUGUUUCCUUCUGUUUUGUGAUUUGAGUGAUUACCCCCCUCUGGGAUAAAUACAGC
This is a long non-coding RNA of Esox lucius (northern pike), 5409 nucleotides long. Lineage: Eukaryota; Metazoa; Chordata; Actinopteri; Esociformes; Esocidae. The record is from Ensembl.